This 64-nucleotide transfer RNA is filed under the name Tricula hortensis. RNAcentral describes it as "tRNA-His". It matches the Rfam family "tRNA". From Rfam's summary of the family: Transfer RNA (tRNA) molecules are approximately 80 nucleotides in length. Their secondary structure includes four short double-helical elements and three loops (D, anti-codon, and T loops). Further hydrogen bonds mediate the characteristic L-shaped molecular structure. tRNAs have two regions of fundamental functional importance: the anti-codon, which is responsible for specific mRNA codon recognition, and the 3' end, to which the tRNAs corresponding amino acid is attached (by aminoacyl-tRNA synthetases). tRNAs cope with the degeneracy of the genetic code in two manners: having more than one tRNA (with a specific anti-codon) for a particular amino acid; and 'wobble' base-pairing, i.e. permitting non-standard base-pairing at the 3rd anti-codon position. Lineage: Eukaryota; Metazoa; Mollusca; Gastropoda; Littorinimorpha; Pomatiopsidae. The record is from RNAcentral.
GUUAAGUUAGUUUAACUAAAAUAUCAGCUUGUGGAUCUGAUGAUAAAAUUUAUUUUACUUAACC